GUUGACCUCGGAUCAGGUGGGGA
RNAcentral lists this ribosomal RNA (23 nucleotides) under Ophiocordyceps sinensis. RNAcentral's name for it is "partial 28S ribosomal RNA". Lineage: Eukaryota; Fungi; Ascomycota; Sordariomycetes; Hypocreales; Ophiocordycipitaceae. The record is from RNAcentral.